RNAcentral lists this ribosomal RNA (449 nucleotides) under uncultured bacterium. RNAcentral describes it as "partial 16S ribosomal RNA". It matches the Rfam family "Bacterial small subunit ribosomal RNA", at positions 29 to 523 of the family's 1533-position model. The record is from RNAcentral.
AACGAACGCUGGCGGCAGGCUUAACACAUGCAAGUCGAACGAGAUCUUCGGAUCUAGUGGCAGACGGGUGAGGAACACGUGGGAACAUCCCUUUCAGUUCGGAAUAACGUUGGGAAACUAACGCUAAUACCGGAUACGUCCUUCGGGAGAAAGAUUUAUCGCUGAAAGAUUGGCCCGCGUCUGAUUAGCUAGUUGGUGAGGUAAUGGCUCACCAAGGCUACGAUCAGUAGCUGAUCUGAGAGGAUGAUCAGCCACAUUGGGACUGAGACACGGCCCAAACUCCCACGGGAGGCAGCAGUGGGGAAGAUUGGACAAUGGGCGCAAGCCUGAUCCAGCCAUGCCGCGUGAGUGAUGACGGCCUUCGGGUUGUAAAGCUCUUUUGUCCGGGAAGAUAAUGACUGUACCGGAAGAAUAAGCCCCGGCAAACUUCGUGCCAGCAGCCGCCGUAA